This 460-nucleotide ribosomal RNA is filed under the name uncultured bacterium. Its description in RNAcentral is "partial 16S ribosomal RNA". It matches the Rfam family "Bacterial small subunit ribosomal RNA", at positions 338 to 795 of the family's 1533-position model. The record is from RNAcentral.
CCUACGGGAGGCAGCAGUGAGGAAUAUUGGUCAAUGGCCGGAAGGCUGAACCAGCCAUGCCGCGUGAAGGUCAGUGCCCUAUGGGCGUUAAACUUCUUUUGUGCGGGAGCAAUAAUGGUCACGUGUGGCCAGACGAGAGUACCGUACGAAUAAGCAUCGGCUAACUCCGUGCCAGCAGCCGCGGUAAUACGGGGGAUGCAAGCGUUAUCCGGAUUUAUUGGGGUUAAAGGGUGCGUAGGCUGUGAGGUAAGUCAGCGGUGAAAUGCCCCCGCUCAACGGGGUGAAGUGCAAUUGAUACUGCCUUGCUGGAAUGCGGAUGCCGUGGGAGGAAUGUGUGGUGUAGCGGUGAAAUGCAUAGAUAUCACACAGAACACCGAUUGCGAAGGCAUCUCACGAAUCCGCGAUUGACGCUGAUGCACGAAAGCGUGGGUAUCAAACAGGAUUAGAUACCCCAGUAGUC